UGGGGGAAUAUUGCACAAUGGGCGCAAGCCUGAUGCAGCCAUGCCGCGUGUAUGAAGUAAGGCCUUCGGGUUGUAAAGUACUUUCAGCAGUGAGGAAGGUGGAUAUGUUAAUAGCAUAUUCAUUUGACGUUAGCUGCAGAAGAAGCACCGGCUAACUCCGUGCCAGCAGCCGCGGUAAUACGGAGGGUGCGAGCGUUAAUCGGAAUUACUGGGCGUAAAGCGCAUGCAGGUGGUUUGUUAAGUCAGAUGUGAAAGCCCGGGGCUCAACCUCGGAAUUGCAUUUGAAACUGGCAAACUAGAGUACUGUAGAGGGGGUAGAAUUUCAGGUGUAGCGGUGAAAAUGCGUAGAGAUCUGAAGGAAUACCGGUGGCGAAGGCGGCCCCCUGGACAGAUACUGACACUCAGAUGCGAAAGCGUGGGGAGCAAACAGGAUUAGAUACCCUGGUAG
This 448-nucleotide ribosomal RNA is filed under the name uncultured bacterium. RNAcentral describes it as "bacterial SSU rRNA". It matches the Rfam family "Bacterial small subunit ribosomal RNA", at positions 354 to 793 of the family's 1533-position model. The record is from RNAcentral.